Molecule: non-coding RNA, 337 nt
Organism: Meleagris gallopavo (turkey)
Lineage: Eukaryota; Metazoa; Chordata; Aves; Galliformes; Phasianidae
Source: RefSeq, a predicted model, not a curated record
GGGAUCGGAGCUUGUCCGCGUGGCUUCGUGAGAAAGGGGAUAACGUGGGUUAACGAGUGGUUUCAGCUGGAUACAUAUGGCAAGGCCAACCCAAAGAAGCAACUACCUCUUCUUCACAAAUUACGCCACAAGAACAUUUGAUGCAUUUGAUAUACAUUUGAUUUCACUGAUUGGAAGCCAUCAUGAAGCACCACCACUAACCUGCCUGCUUGCUUUAGGGGACCUUUGCGAGACGCGCCUCCUUCAUCGAGCAGCGCUUUCUCCAAAGAGGUUACCGGCACUGACUGGAAUGCCGGGGAGAGACCAGACAGCCGAGGAGAAAGAGCCUCGCACCAGG